ACAUCACCACUUCAUAUUAAGUGGGCGGAUCCAGGUUAGUAGGUAGAAUUGUGGAAGUUUAAACUUUUGCAUCUUUUGUUCAACAUGAAACUUUUACUGCUCUUGAUUGUAACUUUGACAUCUUACAUUCUUACCUUCGUUUUUUAAAGGCUUCCAGGUUCCAGCAGAUAUUCACUGUCAAGAGAGCUGAAAAGUCUAAUUAGGCCUAAUGUGGAAACAAGUGGGAUACUGGACACUGGUAAUCCUCAAUCUUGUCUAUAGUUGGCACAUCAUGUUGGUAUCCACGUUGAGAUCUUGACCUGCCACUAUAGCCAAAAGGGCAAUCUUUCUACUCGUAGUAUCAGAUAAGACUGGAAGCUUUGCAUGCACUAAUAUAUUAUUCAUCGUUAUCUGAACUCGAUCUUGAAAGCUCAACAAAAGCAGGUGAUUUCCUGGAUAUGCAUCACUGAUUGGAUUAGCUUUGCAUGUUACUCCUAUUUGUUAAAGCAAUUUCAAUAGUAUAGCCAACUGCUAGCUCUAAUUCAUAUACAGUCAAUCUAAUAACCAAUUCAUAUAAUAGUUAGCUACUAAACAUCAAUACAUGGCGCCACAUGUCAUACAUAUAUUUUGUCUUGGAGUCCAUGUGCAGCUGGCUACAAAUUAGUAGCUCACAUCUAUUCUCUCUCAUCUCUUAUCUUUUUAAAAUAUGUUUAUAGCUGGCUAAUAGCCUGCUAUUGAACUUGCUCUUAUCCUACUUGUUUAUUAGGAGGGAUAGCUGGAGAUUUAGGAGUAACAUUAGCACGUUUUUUAGACGAAGUCAUAUGAUCCUACAUGUGGAUUUUUCAUAUUUUUUAAUUGGAAGUCUACUAAAACCAGGAUUCUAGGCUUUUACAGUAAUUAUAAAAUAGUACUAGUUGCGAGCAUUUCAACAGCUAAUCUAAAUUUGGUCAUCUAUAUUUUUAUUUAGAUAUCUAAAAUAGGUUCAUCUUUAAUAUCUCUUUAUACUUUAGCAGAUCAUCCAUAUAUGACAUCCUCUAUAUUUCUUUAGAGAAUGGAGAGAGAACAUCUAAAUAUAGAGUUUUUCUCUUCUAAUAUGAUAACAUCUAAAAUUAGAGGAUGAGAUAGAUAUUCUGUUGGAGCUCAUUUUUUAUCUCUCAUCCUCUAUUUUCAGGAUGUAGGAUGAGAUGUAGGAUGAGAUAGAUGAACUAUUAGGGAUGCUCUAACAAUCAGACAUUGCUUGCAGUAUUAGAUGCUAGAGAGAAAACAGAAUAAAUGUUAAUGGCAUCUAUCACUGUCACAUUCUUGAUUAGCGACGGUCGUUAUUUGUUUCCUGUACGUAAUGUCGUUAAUAAUAUCCUUUCGUUUUAGCCUUAAAUUCUAAGCUUUGUGGGCCAGCUGCAGCCACAAUCUAACUGCUGAGUGCGUCUCUAUUUAUUCUCCAUUUGCUCCUCUUCGUUGUUGGCCAUGUCAGAAGUAUUGGAAGGAUAAUCUUUUUUAAAGUGUACAUGUCAACUUAAAUUUGCUGAACAAGCAAUGCAUGAAGCAGCGGAUAUAGUGCGGUGUCUAAAGGAUUAGAUAGGAACAGCGUUGGAUCUUACACUUAUUAAGCUAGUUCAGAAUGCAUAUGCUCGUUCUAAUCUGAAUAUUUUCUUAGUUUUCAUAAUCUUUGCAAAAAAGCAGAAAGAUGAUAUCUUUUUUAUCAAGAUGUGAUAGAUGGAUUAGGAUGUGAUUCGAAGUCACUUACAAUACAAAAGGUUACCUCGAGCUUUAGUUUUGUUGCUUUCCUCAAAAGUAAUUUCAUUUGUUGAUAAAGUAACCACAGGCAAUGAUUCAGAAAUCAAAUGAGUGAAGUAAUACAACUUGAUUUAUGGAUCAUUGAAAUUAUGUUUUGAGUAUGAUAGAUAGGUUUUAGGGACAACUUGGAAAGAUGAUGGCCUAAUGACUUACUCGUAGAUAUCAACAGCGUCAUCUCCAGACACCACGGGGUAGGGUCUUAGUGUAAUGUGCUUGUGACAAACAUUCCUUGAGCUACAGCCAACAGAUGCUAGUAUAUCCCUGCAAUGACUGCUCCUUUAUAGAUCUUCUUGCUAUUCCGUAGCUAUUGACCAGUAAUUAAAAGUACUUUAUCAUUUGCCUAAACAGUAACCACACGUUUAGUCCUGCGUCUUGUAAGCAGGAUUAGUAACUGUUGAUGGCCUGACCAACCAAUGCUAACGUGACAAUUAUCAGGAGUUUGUCAGGUCUCUCUGAUGGAAUCAGGUGCUCUCAGAAUGGAGGAUGGAGGGUUAAACAUUUGCCACUUGCAAACAUGAUGCAUGAUUGGUAUUUUACCGCCGCCUGAUCAAUUCAUCAGUAUUUUACCGCCGCCAUGAUUCUCGCUGAAGAUAUGAUUUAAUAUUUUUAGACAAAGCAAACUUUACUAAUCAUAGAUAAUUAUAUCAAGGUGAUAUAAUUAGUUUAAGAUCACUCGGGGUAUCUGUGUAGCUAGAACAUGGGGCAUCAAUUACUGCAACUCAGCCCCCAGUUAGUUCCUUCACUUUCACUAGUCUAGACUGUAGUUGUUUUUCCUUCACAGCAGGACAUGAUUUUUUUUAUAUUGAGAAAGCUUUAAAUUGGCAGUAUUAUAUAGGGAAAAUGUUUUCAUCACUCGCUUAGAUAUCACUUAUUUCUUGCAUAUCAUCAAAAUAAUCAUAAAAUUAAAAAAAGAUAAAAUAAAUUAAUAUGAGACAUAUCACUCCACAAACAUGCAAAUUCAAAUUCGAUUUCUACAAGUUAUAAAAAAAUAAUUUUAAAUAUGCACAUACUAAUUUCAGUUUAAAUUUUUUUCGUUUUAACUUGUAGAUGUCAAAAUUGAACUUACAUGUUUUUGGAGUGAUAUAUCUUAAAUUAAUUCAUCUUGUAAUUUUUUUUAUUAUUUAAGUGACAUGCAAGAAAUGAGUAAAUAUCCAACUGAGUGAUAAAAAUCCAUCUCUGCAUUACAUGGCAUGUUUAGCCCUCAGUGCCUCAGAAUCCUGGUUUUUCAUAAUUCAGGUUCAUGGAAUGGACAACAGGAAUUGCAGUGAUGUCUCAUCUUGAAGACUCAAAGACCAUGUCCAUCUGCUCUGUUUCCUGGACCAGACUGACUAUGUUUGACCCCAAAUAUUCCACUUGGCCAUGAAUCUAAGCCAAACAAAGGUCAAAGAUACAUCCUCCCCCAGACUGCCAAGAUGGCCUUUUUUUUCCUCUCUCUGUCUCUCUGCAAAAAGAGAUGCAACUACACUCAAAUAAUUCAGUGUCCUCUCCUUUUCUAAUCCUCUUGUUGCAUGUGUGCUAUGCCUCUUUAGCCCUUACUUUACACCAGUAUCAAUAUCAUCAGGCAGACAGGAUCUGGUGCCACAACACUAGCUAGUGCCCCUCUGAUGCCCAGAAAGCCACCACACUGUUAAUCAAUCAGGUAGAGAGAGAGAUUGAGAGCCUCAUCACCCUACUGAUAAAUAUGCUUGCUGUUGCUACUAGUAGUGAUUAGCAUUCUGACCUUUGCAUGCCCAAAAGCCCCUGCCCCCAUUGGCUCCCUGCUUACUCACUACUAGUAAUAAUUAUUACUAAUCUGUUUUUUUGCCUCCAUUGUUGCAGUUGAUUAGUGCCUAUAUAUACUUGCUCAGGUUCAGCUCAUCAAAGACUUACUAGUUACUACAGACUUGCACAAGUUAUAGUCUUUGUGUUCACAAGAACAACUGAACAGGAGGGUUACCAAAGCUGUGAUUUUGAUUAGGAAGGACCACAGAUUGGUUAGGGAUUAAGCACUGCAUAGAGGUUAAGUGGAAGGAAGAAGCAUGCAGGGUGGUAUUGAGAGUGAGAGCGUGAGGAGGUUGUUGAUGCAGAGAAUGCAGCAAGGGUACGUGUACUCGAGGAGGGCGCUGCUGCUGGCUCCGGCGUACGGCCACGGGGAGAGCUCCGGCGGG
Molecule: long non-coding RNA, 3920 nt
Filed under: Oryza brachyantha (malo sina)
Lineage: Eukaryota; Viridiplantae; Streptophyta; Magnoliopsida; Poales; Poaceae
Description: long non-coding RNA (OBRA_LNC000518)
Source: RNAcentral